Molecule: ribosomal RNA, 502 nt
Filed under: uncultured bacterium
Lineage: Bacteria
Description: partial 16S ribosomal RNA
Rfam family: Bacterial small subunit ribosomal RNA
Source: RNAcentral
ACUCAAAUGAAUUGACGGGGGCCCGCACAAGCGGUGGAGCAUGUGGUUUAAUUCGACGCAACGCGAAGAACCUUACCAGCCCUUGACAUGUCCCGUAUGGGCGCGAGAGAUCGCGUCCUUCAGUUCGGCUGGCGGGAACACAGGUGCUGCAUGGCUGUCGUCAGCUCGUGUCGUGAGAUGUUGGGUUAAGUCCCGCAACGAGCGCAACCCCCGUCUCCAGUUGCCAUCGGGUUAUGCCGGGCACUCUGGAGAAACUGCCGGUGAUAAGCCGGAGGAAGGCGGGGAUGACGUCAAGUCCUCAUGGCCCUUAUGGGCUGGGCUACACACGUGCUACAAUGGCGGUGACAGAGGGACGCAAGGGCGCGAGCUCGAGCCAAUCUCGAAAAGCCGUCUCAGUUCGGAUUGCACUCUGCAACUCGAGUGCAUGAAGUCGGAAUCGCUAGUAAUCGCGGAUCAGCACGCCGCGGUGAAUACGUUCCCGGGCCUUGUACACACCGCCCGU